CUGUACUCCAGUUACUCCAGUACCAUAAGCCGUCUCUAUCAAUUAAGUAAGGAUCCUUUGCACGGGUCUCAGAACAAACAACAAAUUGCACACAACUCACUGUCUGAGCUUCAAGGACUGAACGGAUGAAAGCUGCCGAGCAGAAGAAUAGAUAUUCC
RNAcentral lists this long non-coding RNA (158 nucleotides) under Mustela putorius furo (domestic ferret). RNAcentral describes it as "lncRNA (ENSMPUG00000031846.1)". The record is from RNAcentral. Lineage: Eukaryota; Metazoa; Chordata; Mammalia; Carnivora; Mustelidae.